Molecule: ribosomal RNA, 495 nt
Filed under: uncultured bacterium
Lineage: Bacteria
Description: partial 16S ribosomal RNA
Rfam family: Bacterial small subunit ribosomal RNA
Source: RNAcentral
GAUGAACGCUGGCGGCGUGCCUAAUACAUGCAAGUAGAACGCUGAAGGAGGAGCUUGCUCUUCUGGAUGAGUUGCGAACGGGUGAGUAACGCGUAGGUAACCUGCCUGGUAGCGGGGGAUAACUAUUGGAAACGAUAGCUAAUACCGCAUGACAACAGUUAUUGCAUGAUAACUGUUUAAAAGGGGCAACUGCUCCACUACCAGAUGGACCUGCGUUGUAUUAGCUAGUUGGUGAGGUAACGGCUCACCAAGGCGACGAUACAUAGCCGACCUGAGAGGGUGCUCGGCCACACUGGGACUGCGACACGGCCCAGACUCCUACGGGAGGCAGCAGUAGGGAAUCUUCGGCAAUGGACGGAAGUCUGACCGAGCAACGCCGCGUGAGUGAAGAAGGUUUUCGGAUCGUAAAGCUCUGUUGUAAGAGAAGAACGAGUGUGAGAGUGGAAAGUUCACACUGUGACGGUAUCUUACCAGAAAGGGACGGCUAACUACGUG